GAUGAACGCUAGCGGCAGGCCUAACACAUGCAAGUCGAGGGAGAAGCCCUUUCGGGGGCAGAAACCGGCGCACGGGUGCGUAACGCGUAUGCAACCUACCUUUCACAGUGGGAUAGCCCGAAGAAAUUUGGAGUAAUACCCCAUAAUAUUAUUGGAUGGCAUCAUUUGAUAAUUAAAACUGCGGUGGUGAAAGAUGGGCAUGCGUCCUAUUAGCUAGUUGGUGUGGUAACGGCACCCCAAGGCUACGAUAGGUAGGGGUCCUGAGAGGGAGAUCCCCCACACUGGUACUGAGACAGGGACCAGACUCCUACGGAAGGCAGCAGUGAGGAAUAUUGGUCAAUGGUCGGAAGACUGAACCAGCCAUGCCGCGUGCAGGAAGAAUGCCUUAUGGGUUGUAAACUGCUUUUAUAUGAGAAGAAUAAGGCGUACGUGUACGUUGAUGACGGUACCAGAUGAAUAAGCAUCGGCUAACUCCGUG
Molecule: ribosomal RNA, 478 nt
Filed under: uncultured bacterium
Lineage: Bacteria
Description: partial 16S ribosomal RNA
Rfam family: Bacterial small subunit ribosomal RNA
Source: RNAcentral